Molecule: ribosomal RNA, 253 nt
Filed under: uncultured bacterium
Lineage: Bacteria
Description: partial 16S ribosomal RNA
Rfam family: Bacterial small subunit ribosomal RNA
Source: RNAcentral
UACAGAGGUCCCGAGCGUUGUUCGGAUUCACUGGGCGUAAAGGGUGCGUAGGUGGUGAGGUAAGUCGGAUGUGAAAUCUCCGAGCUCAACUCGGAAAUGGCAUUGGAAACUACCUUGCUCGAGGGUUGGAGGGGGGACUGGAAUACUUGGUGUAGCAGUGAAAUGCGUAGAUAUCAAGUGGAACACCAGUGGCGAAGGCGAGUCCCUGGACAACUCCUGACACUGAGGCACGAAAGCUAGGGGAGCAAACGGG